GACGAACGCUGGCGGCGUGCCUAAUACAUGCAAGUAGAACGCACAGUUUAUACCGUAGCUUGCUACACCAUAGACUGUGAGUUGCGAACGGGUGAGUAACGCGUAGGUAACCUGCCUGGUAGCGGGGGAUAACUAUUGGAAACGAUAGCUAAUACCGCAUAAUAUUAAUUAUUGCAUGAUAAUUAAGUGAAAGGUGCAAUUGCACCACUACCAGAUGGACCUGCGUUGUAUUAGCUAGUAGGUGAGGUAACGGCUCACCUAGGCGAAGAUACAUAGCCGACCUUGAAGGGUGAUCGGCCACACUGGGACUGAGACACGGCCCAGACCUCUACGGGAGGCAGCCGUAGGGAAACUUCGGCAAUGGACGAAAGUCUGACCGAGCAACGCCGCGUGAGGGAAGAAGGUUUUCGGAUCGGAAAGCUCUGUUGUAAGAGAAGAACGGGUGUGAGCGUGGAACGUUCACACUGUGACGGUACCUUACCAGAAAGGGACGGCUAACUACGUG
This 505-nucleotide ribosomal RNA is filed under the name uncultured bacterium. RNAcentral's name for it is "partial 16S ribosomal RNA". It matches the Rfam family "Bacterial small subunit ribosomal RNA", at positions 28 to 507 of the family's 1533-position model. The record is from RNAcentral.